GGGGACGGAGGGAGGAGUGAGAGCAGCCGACGGCUGCUCAGGGCCGGCGACGGCGACGGCGACGGCUCGGCGGCAAGCCGCCGCCUUUUCUUUUUUCUGUCAGACAUUGGGAGGAGAGGAGAAAGAUUAAUUGAGUUUUAGAUUUAGAAAAGAGAGAAAAGGGGAAUAAGUAGGAAAGGGGAAAGGACUUAUCUUCUCCGGCAGAGACGGCGGCGACGCGGCGGAAGCAGCGGCACGAGCGGCGGCCCUUCGGGAUGCCGUUGCUCGACCGGCCGAGGGGGAGAAAGAAGAGCAGGCAGCGGUGCUGUUGAGGUCGUCGCGGCGGCACUGUGGUCGCCGGGGUGACUGCCCACCGCGAGCAGGAAGAGAGAGAGAGAUACCGAGAGGGGAUGGGCCGUGAGGAGGCGCGGCUGCCGUCGAUUCACCGGGACAGGAGCAGGACGACGGCGAUAUGCCGGACCUUCGCCGAUCUCGGGCGGCGGCGGCAGAAACGAGGAGAGGGAGAGAGAUGAGCUGUGUGUGUGUGCGUUUCUUGAAGUGAGAGGGAGAGACGUGAGAGAGGCGAGAGAGAUGAGUGUUGUGUGUGCUGAGUGUGUGUGUUUGUGUAUAUAUGUUAGUAUUAGAUUUUUUUUUUUAAUUUGGGCUUAAGCCCUAUAAUGAGGAUGGGCCGAAAAUUUUAAAAAAAAAAGAGUGGGCCGAUUUUAUUUUAUUUCUGUUGGGCCCAUUUUGCCUUUAAAUCUGAUGGGUUUUUAUUUAAUAGGUUUAGGCCCAAUUUUAAUUAAGUUUUGAGCUGUUAUUUAAAUAUAGGCCUACGAAUUUUGGCCUUAAUUCUAUAAAAAAAAAUGUUUGAUUUUUCACUAAAUUAUUUAGUGAAUUUAAAUCUCUUGAUUUAAAUUUUAAUAUUGGGAGUUGGAUUAUUUAUUCUAAAUGAAGUCCAUUCUAUUAUUUAAAUUAUUAAUGGACUUUAAAGCAAAUAUUUUGGGAUUAAGCCCCAUUUAUUACAUGAUAAAAUUAUUUUCAAAGCUUACGAGUAUGGAUUUUUUUUAAUGGUUAAAAUGUUUUAUUUCAUCUCAAUGGAUUUUAAAAUGUUUUAUUAUUUAUAAAUGAAUAAUGGAAUUUCUUAUUUAUUUACAUAAAAAAAAAUGAAAUGUAUAGAAUAUUAUAAAUAUGGUUUCUUUUAAAAGAAAAAGGAUUAAAUUAUUUUAUGAGUAAUUCCAUUAUAAUGGAAUUAAAAUGUCCUAUUAGAAUGGCUUCAUGUUUUAAAAAAAUAUUGAGACUAUUUAUGUGGAAUUGUGUUAUAGAAUGAUUAAGUAUAUGUAUUUACUUUAUCAAAUGAGCUUGGGAUUUAAUUGAGAUAUUAAAUUGCUAAGCAUAUGUUUAUAAAUGAUUUAUUUAUUUAAAGUGAUGAAAAUGUGNUUUGAAUCCGUUUGUAGAUUUAAAGGAUUAUUGAGUAGUCAAUAAUUAUUAUUUUCGGAUUAUAACUGACUUAGCAAAGUCAUGUUAUUUAAUUUAUAUACGAUAGAAAUAGUAUUUUCUAUUAUUUAAUUGAAGUCAUGAUUAAUUUUUCGACUUAUAAAACGAGUUAUAAAAUAUGUAAUUUGUAGAGAGUUAUAACGAAGCUUCGUUAUAUGGAAACCCGGAAUUAGUAUUACAAAUACGUUAUCAUAUACUUUUCAUUUCCACAUACAUCUAUCUCUUAAAUAAAUUGAUGGUAUUGGAAACACUCAUCAUAUGCAAAUUAUUCCACUAAUUCCACUAAUUCCACUAAACACUCUUUACACUCAUCAUUGCCGGCCAUCUUCUACACUCAUUCCACUAAUAAUCAUUAUUCCACUACCUCCCACUACUACACCCUUUUUCCCCACCAAUACACCUAACUCUCCACACACUUCAUUUUUUUUAUUUCUACACCACUAUAUUCCAUAUUCAGUACUACAUCUUGCAGAUUCCUCAUUAAGAAAUCCUCUCUCUCUAAUCUUCUAAAUUACCAUUUUCUUUCCUCCUACUCCUCACGGGUCCUUCAAAGAAAUUAUCAAGUUUGUUUCAAGUUCCAAAUCAAGAAUCAAGGUGUGUAAAUUUUGUUUAUUUCCUCCAUUUAAUUUUUCGAGGAUUACAUUCUAACACCUAGCAUCAUUUAUGCAGAAGCCACAAAUCCUCAUCUGCCUCUUCAAGGUUAUUUCCAGCAUAAACAACUUCUUUUAGAUUAUUAUUGCUUCAAUUACAUCAUCUUAUCAAGCAUCAGAGGACCACCAACAAACAAACACACACUCAUAAUCAUUAUUUUCACCUAACUAUUACAAUUACAAGGAUUUCAAGAUCUGAUAAAAAGAAAUGAUGAAAGAACAGAAUUUCUAAACAAAAACCCUAACUUUCUAUAUGUGAAUCUGGACUGAAAUUGAGCCUUCUUGUGUCUUUAUUGUGUGUGACCGGGGACGGAGGGAGGAGUGAGAGCAGCCGACGGCUGCUCAGGGCCGGCGACGGCGACGGCUCGGCGGCAAGCCGCCGCCUUUUCUUUUUUCUGUCAGACAUUGGGAGGAGAGGAGAAAGAUUAAUUAAGUUUUAGAUUUAGAAAAGAGAGAAAAGGGGAAUAAGUAGGAAAGGGGAAAGGACUUAUCUUCUCCGGCAGAGACGGCGGCGACGCGGCGGAAGCAGCGGCACGAGCGGCGGCCCUUCGGGAUGCUGUUGCUCGACCGGCCGAGGGGGAGAAAGAAGAGCAGGCAGCGGUGCUGUUGAGGUCGUCGCGGCGGCACUGUGGUCGCCGGGGUGACUGCCCACCGCGAGCAGGAAGAGAGAGAGAGAUACCGAGAGGGGAUGGGCCGUGAGGAGGCGCGGCUGCCGUCGAUUCACCGGGACAGGAGCAGGACGACGGCGAUAUGCCGGACCUUCGCCGAUCUCGGGCGGCGGCGGCAGAAACGAGGAGAGGGAGAGAGAUGAGCUGUGAGUGUGUGUGUGCGUUUCUUGAAGUGAGAGGGAGAGACGUGAGAGAGGCGAGAGAGAUGAGUGUUGUGUGUGCUGAGUGUGUGUGUUUGUGUAUAUAUGUUAGUAUUAGGUUUUUUUUAAAUUUGGGCUUAAGCCC
RNAcentral lists this long non-coding RNA (3076 nucleotides) under Salvia miltiorrhiza (redroot sage). RNAcentral's name for it is "long non-coding RNA (SMIL_LNC007555)". The record is from RNAcentral. Lineage: Eukaryota; Viridiplantae; Streptophyta; Magnoliopsida; Lamiales; Lamiaceae.